Molecule: ribosomal RNA, 479 nt
Filed under: uncultured bacterium
Lineage: Bacteria
Description: partial 16S ribosomal RNA
Rfam family: Bacterial small subunit ribosomal RNA
Source: RNAcentral
GACGAACGCUGGCGGCGUGCUUAACACAUGCAAGUUGAACGAGAAUUCUUCGAGUUAUUUCUUCGGACUGUUCAUGAAAAAGGAAAGUAGCCAACGGGUGAGUAACCCUUGAGAAACCUGACUUUCACAAAGGGAUAGCCCCGGGAAACCGGGAUUAAUACCUUAUGAAACCACACACUCGCAUGAGAGAUUGGUUGAAGAUUUAUCGGUGUUAGAUGGUCUCGCGUCUGAUUAGCUAGUUGGCGGGAUAAAAGACUACCAAGGCAACGAUGAGUAGCCGGAUUGGGAGGAUGAACGGCCACACUGGAACUGGGACACGGUCCAGACUCCUACGGGAGGCAGCAGUGGGGAAUUAUGCACAAUGGGGGAGACUCUGAUGCAUCGACGCCGCGUGAGUGAUGAAGGGCGUCGGAUUGUAAAACUCUGUCCUUAGUGAAGAUAAUAACAGUAACUAAGAAGCAGGCCCUGGCUAAAUACGU